Molecule: ribosomal RNA, 1486 nt
Filed under: uncultured Propionibacterium sp.
Lineage: Bacteria; Bacillati; Actinomycetota; Actinomycetes; Propionibacteriales; Propionibacteriaceae
Description: bacterial SSU rRNA
Rfam family: Bacterial small subunit ribosomal RNA
Source: RNAcentral
AGAGUUUGAUCCUGGCUCAGGACGAACGCUGGCGGCGUGCUUAACACAUGCAAGUCGAACGGAAAGGCCCUGCUUUUGUGGGGUGCUCGAGUGGCGAACGGGUGAGUAACACGUGAGUAACCUGCCCUUGACUUUGGGAUAACUUCAGGAAACUGGGGCUAAUACCGGAUAGGAGCUCCUGCUGCAUGGUGGGGGUUGGAAAGUUUCGGCGGUUGGGGAUGGACUCGCGGCUUAUCAGCUUGUUGGUGGGGUAGUGGCUUACCAAGGCUUUGACGGGUAGCCGGCCUGAGAGGGUGACCGGCCACAUUGRGACUGAGAUACGGCCCAGACUCCUACGGGAGGCAGCAGUGGGGAAYAUUGCACAAUGGGCGGAAGCCUGAUGCAGCAACGCCGCGUGCGGGAUGACGGCCUUCGGGUUGUAAACCGCUUUCGCCUGUGACGAAGCGUGAGUGACGGUAAUGGGUAAAGAAGCACCGGCUAACUACGUGCCAGCAGCCGCGGUGAUACGUAGGGUGCGAGCGUUGUCCGGAUUUAUUGGGYGUAAAGGGCUCGUAGGUGGUUGAUCGCGUCGGAAGUGUAAUCUUGGGGCUUAACCCUGAGCGUGCUUUCGAUACGGGUUGACUUGAGGAAGGUAGGGGAGAAUGGAAUUCCUGGUGGAGCGGUGGAAUGCGCAGAUAUCAGGAGGAACACCAGUGGCGAAGGCGGUUCUCUGGGCCUUUCCUGACGCUGAGGAGCGAAAGCGUGGGGAGCGAACAGGCUUAGAUACCCUGGUAGUCCACGCUGUAAACGGUGGGUACUAGGUGUGGGGUCCAUUCCACGGGUUCCGUGCCGUAGCUAACGCUUUAAGUACCCCGCCUGGGGAGUACGGCCGCAAGGCUAAAACUCAAAGGAAUUGACGGGGCCCCGCACAAGCGGCGGAGCAUGCGGAUUAAUUCGAUGCAACGCGUAGAACCUUACCUGGGUUUGACAUGGAUCGGGAGYGCUCAGAGAUGGGUGUGCCUCUUUUGGGGUCGGUUCACAGGUGGUGCAUGGCUGUCGUCAGCUCGUGUCGUGAGAUGUUGGGUUAAGUCCCGCAACGAGCGCAACCCUUGUUCACUGUUGCCAGCACGUUAUGGUGGGGACUCAGUGGAGACCGCCGGGGUCAACUCGGAGGAAGGUGGGGAUGACGUCAAGUCAUCAUGCCCCUUAUGUCCAGGGCUUCACGCAUGCUACAAUGGCUGGUACAGAGAGUGGCGAGCCUGURAGGGUGAGCGAAUCUCGGAAAGCCGGUCUCAGUUCGGAUUGGGGUCUGCAACUCGACCUCAUGAAGUCGGAGUCGCUAGUAAUCGCAGAUCAGCAACGCUGCGGUGAAUACGUUCCCGGGGCUUGUACACACCGCCCGUCAAGUCAUGAAAGUUGGUAACACCCGAAGCCGGUGGCCUAACCGUUGUGGGGGAGCCGUCGAAGGUGGGACUGGUGAUUAGGACUAAGUCGUAACAAGGUAACC